UCCGAUUUUCACAGGUAAUGACCGGUCAUGGCUGUUUUGGCGAAUACCUGUGUAAGAUCGGACGUGAAGCGAUGCCAGUUUGCCACCACUGUGGCGCGGAUCAGGAUUCUGCACAGCACACGCUAGAGUUGUGCUCGGCUUGGUACUCUGAGCGUCAAAUCCUGGUCCGAGAGAUCGGGCAAGAUCUUUCCUUGCGAGCUGUUGAAUCAGCGUGGAAAGCCAUGAUCUCCUUCUGUGAGACUGUCAUAUCCCAGAAGGAGUCAUCUGAGAGAAAUCGGGAGAGGACCGAUCUAUCUCGACGUGGAGGGCGAAGGCGUUGUCACUUAUUUGACCCUCCAAUGCCUGGGGUACAAUAAACUGGGCCUACCCCCCCUUUUCUGGCUGUAGACGUGUGAGAGGGGACUCGAACGUUUGUACUUGAACAGCCC
This 428-nucleotide unclassified non-coding RNA is filed under the name Melitaea cinxia (Glanville fritillary). RNAcentral describes it as "misc RNA ENSMCXG00005014120.1". Lineage: Eukaryota; Metazoa; Arthropoda; Insecta; Lepidoptera; Nymphalidae. The record is from RNAcentral.